Molecule: ribosomal RNA, 1853 nt
Filed under: Candidatus Bathyarchaeota archaeon
Lineage: Archaea; Thermoproteati; Candidatus Bathyarchaeota
Description: bacterial SSU rRNA
Rfam family: Archaeal small subunit ribosomal RNA
Source: RNAcentral
AGACUCCGCUUGAUCCUGGCGGACCCAACUGCUAUCGGGAUGAGACUAAGCCAUGCGAGUCGCACGCUUCCUAGCCACGGUGGGAGCGUGGCGUACGGCUCAGUAACAUGUGGCUAACCUACCCUCAGGACUGGGACAACUUCGGGAAACUGAGGCUAAUCCCGGAUGGACGGAGAGGCCUGGAAUGGUUCUCCGUUGAAAAGGCUCUAGGGGCAUGCUCUCUAGAGUUGCCUGAGGAUGGGGCCGCAGCCGAUCAGGUUGUUGGUGAGGUAACGGCUCACCAAGCCUAUAACCGGUACGGGCCGUGAGAGCGGGAGCCCGGAGAUGGGCACUGAGAUAAGGGCCCAGGCCCUACGGGGCGCAGCAGGCGCGAAACCUUUGCAAUGCGCGAAAGCGUGACAGGGUCAUCCCGAGUGCCGUCCGCUGAGGAUGGCUUUUGCCUGGUCUAACCAGCCAGGUGAAUAAGGGGAGGGCAAGUCUGGUGUCAGCCGCCGCGGUAAUACCAGCUCCUCGAGUGGUUGGGACGAUUAUUGGGUCUAAAGCGUCCGUAGCCGGCUGGAAAAGUUCUCCGUAAAAUCCAACGAUCCAAUCGUUGGAUCGCGGGGAAUACUUUCCGGCUUGGGGGCGGGGGAGGUCGGCGGUAGUCCCGGGGUAGGGGCGAAAAAGGAAAUGAAAAGUUUCCGUUCGCAGUCUUAUAAUCCCGGGAGGACCACCAGUGGCGAAGGCGGCCGACUAAAACGCGCCCGACGGUGAGGGACGAAAGCUGGGGGAGCGAACGGGAUUAGAUACCCCGGUAGUCCCAGCUGUAAACGAUGCAGGCUAGGUGUUAGGACGGGUACGGCCCGUCCUAGUGCCGCAGGGAAGCCAUUAAGCCUGCCACCUGGGGAGUACGGCCGCAAGGCUGAAUUCUCAUAUGGCAAGAAAUCGUGCCGUUGAGACAGUUCACUUAAAGGAAUUGGCGGGGGAGCACCACAAGGGGUGAAGCUUGCGGUUUAAUUGGAGUCAACACCGGGAACCUUACCAGGGGCGACAGUUGGAUGAAGGUCAGAUUAAAGGUCUUACCGGACUAGCUGAGAGGAGGUGCAUGGCCGUCGCCAGACCUCAGCCCGGAAUCACCCAAAACUCGGAACAUACACCCGAAGCCAUUCAACCAUAUCUUGCCGGACUCGUAGCAUCCGAUGGCAACAUACAACCACGUGAAGUCAGAAUUGCCACGAGUAUUUGGCGUCUCUCGGUUUCACACCGACGAGUCUCAAGGCAGAAGAAGAGGUAUACAGGCUGAAGAUGUAUUCUCGCAAAAAUCUCGAGCUAUUUGCUCGAUCAUUCAGGAUUAGGCAUCCUGUGAAAAUUGCGAAGAUUGGUUCCGCGCUGGGGGGCGAGUUCGUGCCGUGAGGUGUUCUCUUAAGUGAGAAAACGAACGAGACCCGUGCCCUUAGUUGCCAGGGCAUUCCCUCGGGAAUGCAGGCACACUAGGGGGACUGCCUCCGCUAAGGGGGAGGAAGGAGCGGGCCACGGCAGGUCAGUAUGCCCCGGAUCCCCUGGGCCACACGCGAGCUGCAAUGGCUGGGACAAUGGGCUCCGACCCCGAAAGGGGAAGGCAAUCCCUAAACCCAGCCUCAGUUGGGAUCGAGGGCUGCAACCCGCCCUCGUGAACAUGGAAUCCCUAGUAACCGCGUGUCAUCAUCGCGCGGUGAAUACGUCCCUGCUCCUUGCACACACCGCCCGUCGCUCCACCCGAGUCUGGUUUUGGUGAGGUGCAGCCCUGUUGGUUGCCUCGAACCUAAGCUAAGCAAGGGGGGAGAAGUCGUAACAAGGUGGCCGUAGGGGAACCUGCGGCCGGAUCACCUCCUUAG